RNAcentral lists this ribosomal RNA (253 nucleotides) under uncultured bacterium. RNAcentral's name for it is "partial 16S ribosomal RNA". It matches the Rfam family "Bacterial small subunit ribosomal RNA", at positions 524 to 776 of the family's 1533-position model. The record is from RNAcentral.
UACAGAGGGUGCAAGCGUUAUUCGGAAUUACUGGGCGUAAAGCGUGCGCAGUCGGUUAUCUAAGUCGGGUGUGAAAUCCCCGGGCUCAACCUGGGAAUUGCAUUCGAUACUGGAUAGCUAGAGUUCGGCAGAGGGAAGCGGAAUUUCGGGUGUAGCGGUGAAAUGCGUAGAUAUGCGGAGGAACACCGAUGGCGAAGGCAAUCCCCUGGGCCUGCACUGACGCUCAUGCACGAAAGCGUGGGGAGCAAACAGG